Triticum dicoccoides is the source of this 604-nucleotide long non-coding RNA. RefSeq lists it as uncharacterized. The record is from RefSeq and is a predicted model, not a curated record. The transcript is spliced from 3 exons. NCBI's taxonomy places the organism in Eukaryota, Viridiplantae, Streptophyta, Magnoliopsida, Poales, Poaceae.
CGUUCUCGGCCGUCUCCCACGGCGCUCGUAGCCCCGGAUCACCACUCUCCUUCCACCCGCAGCGACGCCUCGUCGUUCCUCUCGCGGCGGGUCGCCGCCCCCUCCGCAUCCUUUUUCCGGUCGCCUGCGGCCUUCGACGCGACCCUCUCCUAGCCAAGCCACGGCGCUUGAUUCGCCGAGCCGGCCGAGCCCCCAGCCGCCUGUCCCUCCUCUCUGCUCAACAGGAGCGUAGGCGCCCAACACCACAGGAUCCACCCCCAGGCCUCUUCGUCCUACGAGGCAGCACAAGGAAGAACGGCGGUCUCCUGCCACCUCCAACCCCGCAUCAUAGAUAGGGCUGAUUCGCAAGGUAUAACCUGAAUUUAUCUCACUGGGCUCAGGUGGGUGUUGUUACAUCAACCUUUCCUAGCUACAAGGCAUGCAUGCAUGCGUGCUGAGAAUCUUGAGACAGGAGGCUAUAUCUCAUUCGAUGUUACCUUGUCGAAAUGUGGGUCCGUCAUAGAAUGGAACUGGAACACUCCUUGUUGACUGCAGCAGAGGCAGAGAAGAAAAACAGAAGUUGAUAUGAGAUCAACUUGCACAAACUCAAGAAACUGCUGCUUGU